This 624-nucleotide ribosomal RNA is filed under the name uncultured beta proteobacterium. RNAcentral's name for it is "bacterial SSU rRNA". It matches the Rfam family "Bacterial small subunit ribosomal RNA", at positions 91 to 678 of the family's 1533-position model. The record is from RNAcentral. Lineage: Bacteria; Pseudomonadati; Pseudomonadota; Betaproteobacteria.
UAAAGUGGCGAACGGGUGAGUAAUACACUCGGAACGUACCUUAUCCGCCGGGGGAUAUCUGCAGCGAAAGCUGUGCUAAUACCGCAUACGCCCUGAGUGGGUGAAAGCGGGGGAUCGCAAGACCUCGACGCGAUUAGAGCGGCCGAUGCCUGAUUAGCUAGUUGGUGGGGUAAAGGCCCACCAACGCAACGAUCAGUAGCUGGUCUGAGAGGACGAUCAGCCACACUGGGACUGAGACACGGCCCAGACUCCUACGGGAGGCAGCAGUGGGGAAUUUUGGACAAUGGGCGCAAGCCUGAUCCAGCAAUGCCGCCGUGCAGGAUGAAGGCCUUCGGGUUGUAAACUGCUUUUGUACGGAACGAAACGGUGAGCUCUAAUAAAGUUUGCUAAUGACGGUACCGUAAGAAUAAGCAACCGGCUAACUACGUGCCAGCAGACCGCAGGUAAUACGUAGGGUGCGAGCGUUAAUCGGAAUUACUGGGCGUAAAGCGUGCGCACGCGCUGUGUUAUGUAAAGACAAGAUGUGAAAUCCCCGAGGACUCAAAACUAGGUGAACCUGCAUUUGUGACUGCAUAAGACAUAGAAGAUACGGGAUAAGAGGGGGGAUGGAAAUUCCCAGCAGAU